GUGAGGAAUAUUGCACAAUGGGCGAAAGCCUGAUGCAGCAACGCCGCGUGAGUGAUGAAGGCCUUUGGGUCGUAAAACUCUGUCCUUGGGGAAGAAAAAAAUGACGGUACCCUUGGAGGAAGCCCCGGCUAACUACGUGCCAGCAGCCGCGGUAAUACGUAGGGGGCAAGCGUUAUCCGGAAUUAUUGGGCGUAAAGAGUGCGUAGGUGGUUUUGUAAGCGUAGGGUGAAAGGCAGUAGCUCAACUAUUGUUAGCCCUGCGAACUGUGAGACUUGAGUGCAGGAGAGGAAAGUGGAAUUCCUAGUGUAGCGGUGAAAUGCGUAGAUAUUAGGAGGAACACCAGUGGCGAAGGCGACUUUCUGGACUGUAACUGACACUGAGGCACGAAAGCGUGGGUAGCAAACAGGAUUAGAUACCCCUGUAGUCC
This 427-nucleotide ribosomal RNA is filed under the name uncultured bacterium. RNAcentral describes it as "partial 16S ribosomal RNA". It matches the Rfam family "Bacterial small subunit ribosomal RNA", at positions 354 to 796 of the family's 1533-position model. The record is from RNAcentral.